CAGUUACACACUACGUCGUACGAUUGAGACAAGGAAACUUGGAAUGACUUUUCAUAGGUUUCCCAGAGACUAUGGGUUGAGGAGGAAUUGGAAGUUUGUCGGCUUAGACCUGUGUCAUUCCAUCAGUGUUAAACUUCCCGGCUCAUCUUGGAAGAGUACGUGCCAGAAAGACCACGACCAAGCAGCCUUGAGAUCUUAGACAGCGUCUCCCUCAGACCAAAGAACUACAGACUCUUCACAACCUGCUCAAACUCUUGGUACAGGACCUCACCACACGGGUCAAGAAGGUUUCCAUCUCAUUUCUACUCUGAAGCUCACCUUCUCCUGCUCAAACUGCUGACAAAUGUCUCUGCUGCUUUAAAGUCUGGUCUCCAGAACUUCCUAAAAACUCUCAAAGUCUCUUCUGCUGCAGGUUGCUUUGUAGAACUGUUGCAGAAAACCUCACUAAACCACAUGGAGGGGCCUCAAGAUAGUCGUCCAAAUGAAACCAUACAAAAACCAAACUAGCACAACCCAAAUGCUAAAGUCUCCUGCAGCCUACCAGAGAACCUCUGAGAACAGAGAAUCAGGACAGGAACUCUCACCUUUUGGACAACCAACAUUGGUUCUCGAACAAGAAUACAGAAUGUGUCUGACCAAAAACCUCUAAAGACUCACUACAGCCAAGAUAAAGACACAACUCAGCUGUACCAAAUCCACUAAUCACUGUGGCUAAAGAACCUCAUUUACCAAGACAACUAUCCAGUACAAAGCCCUAAAACACACCAAGAAACACAUUAAAGUCUAUUUUACUGCUGGAAGCUGCAAGCCAACACCUAAAGAACAAACUAAAGCAAUGGAG
Molecule: long non-coding RNA, 841 nt
Organism: Amphiprion ocellaris (clown anemonefish)
Lineage: Eukaryota; Metazoa; Chordata; Actinopteri; Pomacentridae
Exons: 3
Source: RefSeq, a predicted model, not a curated record